AAAGUAGUGGGUGCAGUUUUAGGAUUUGAUGAGAUGCCAUGGGCCUGGCAGUGGAUCUGUACGAGUUAGACAUUUGUUCGUGUUUAUUAGAUUAGAUUUGAACAGCCAGGGAAUUCCUAGAGGCAUGGCACAGAUUCAAUCAAUAAGCACAUCGACCUGGACCCAAUAUACCGGCCACUGCAACGGACAGCUGGAACUGACAACCGGAAGCGGCAGAGACAAACCACUACAAAUGCCGAAGGAAAGAUCACAGAAGCGCUUCACAGGAGGCUCCCAAGCACUGAGGAUGUCACCUAGAGAGGGGACGAAACGUCUGCAACACAAAUUCCCAGCUCGGCGAACAGAACCACAACAACGAGCACCCGAGCUACAAAUCUUCUCACAAACUUUGAACCAUUAAUAAUAUGUGUAUUUGAACAUGCAUGGAGUGAGUCAGCUUAAACUACAUCUACAUGACAAAAUGACACAAAAGUAUCAGACAAAGUUUGCUUUUGCUGUUUUGAAGGAAUUCAAUGUGAUUAACAUCUUGUGCUCCCUAUGGUUAGCCAGUAUGCCAUUCACGUUAAAAAAAAAUCAAUAAUAAGUAUCAUGAAAAGACAACAUUUCAGGGAAAUUAGGCAUGGGCAAUACAUAUGGCCUUACCAUUUCUCACCUUUCUAGAUUAAACAGGAAGCGAGUACAGCUCAACAAAUAUAUUCAGAAAGCACUGAUCUAUUACCUCUGUUCUGAUUCAGUUAGGAGGUUUAAAUUGAUUUACCACUUCAUUUCCUGAACAAAGUUUGAAUUAAGAAUAUCUAGCUCAGUGUCAGAAACAAGUCAGCCAGAAAUAAUGUAUUGUCAAAUAAUCUUGCUGAAGCAAAUGUAUAAUUAUUUUAAAAAUGUCUAAGUGAUACAAAUAUAUACAACCCUCCUUGAAAACUAACAUACAUGUGCACAACCUUCAAGUCAGGAGAAGAAAAAACAUAAAACCUCUGCUGUGUUAACUAGAAAAUUCCUUGGCUAAGUAACUGUUAAACUCAAGAAAAAUAAUUUCACAAAUUGUGCAAAUGACAAUCUUAAGCCAAAGUAACUUUGCACAGUUGAUGUUGGGAUGUCUUCCUGGAUCAAUUUUAACUCACUGAAUUAAUUUCUCAUUUUCAAAUUCUCUUGUCAGAACACACUAUUUUUAGUGACAGGACCUUCCAGUAAGUUUUCAGUUCUCACACAUAAAUAAGAGGGAUUUCAGAGAACCGCAAAGGCAAUUGCUCAGGUCAAGUUUUUUCUCUGGUUCUGUGUCCAAUUCCUUUUAUUGCCAAAAUGUUUAUCAGUCUGUCUAAAUGUGAUAUGUGACCUCUUUCUGAAGGUUUUGUAGAUUCAGUGUCUCCAAUUGAGCAGUGUUUGGUCUUUGCAAAUUAAACAUUUUCCCUGUUGCA
Molecule: long non-coding RNA, 1412 nt
Organism: Hemiscyllium ocellatum (epaulette shark)
Lineage: Eukaryota; Metazoa; Chordata; Chondrichthyes; Orectolobiformes; Hemiscylliidae
Exons: 2
Source: RefSeq, a predicted model, not a curated record